RNAcentral lists this ribosomal RNA (468 nucleotides) under uncultured bacterium. RNAcentral's name for it is "partial 16S ribosomal RNA". It matches the Rfam family "Bacterial small subunit ribosomal RNA", at positions 28 to 507 of the family's 1533-position model. The record is from RNAcentral.
GAUGAACGCUGACAGAAUGCUUAACACAUGCAAGUCUACUUGAAUUUGGGUUUUUUAACUUAGAUUUGGGUGGCGGACGGGUGAGUAACGCGUAAAGAACUUGCCUCACAGCUAGGGACAACAUUUGGAAACGAAUGCUAAUACCUGAUAUCAUGAUUAUAAGGCAUCUUAGAAUUAUGAAAGCUAUAUGCGCUGUGAGAGAGCUUUGCGUCCCAUUAGCUAGUUGGAGAGGUAACGGCUCACCAAGGCGAUGAUGGGUAGCCGGCCUGAGAGGGUGAACGGCCACAAGGGGACUGAGACACGGCCCUUACUCCUACGGGAGGCAGCAGUGGGGAAUAUUGGACAAUGGACCAAGAGUCUGAUCCAGCAAUUCUGUGUGCACGAUGACGUUUUUCGGAAUGUAAAGUGCUUUCAGUUGGGAAGAAAAAAAUGACGGUACCAACAGAAGAAGUGACGGCUAAAUACGUG